Molecule: non-coding RNA, 334 nt
Organism: Pelobates cultripes (western spadefoot toad)
Lineage: Eukaryota; Metazoa; Chordata; Amphibia; Anura; Pelobatidae
Source: the annotation of a GenBank genome assembly
CAUUUGGAUGGGAAUUACGGUCAUUAGGAUCAGAGCAUAUGCGAUGGUACCUAGUGGCUUGGCUGUAGAUGAUGCCCUGUUUAGUAUGGGAGGGGUUUAAGCUGGAGCUGUGAAGGUAACUGCACCUGUCUGUGGGUUUUAGUAAACCGAGGUGUAGAUUGUGUUCAUGUUACAUGUCACAGUGGUGUCCAGAAAAUUCACAGAUCUAGUGGAAUAUUCCAUUUUUAGUUUGUUUGAUAGAUGGAAUGUAUUAAAGUCAUGGAACUGUAUCAGUUUUUCUUUGCUUUUAGUCCAAAUUAUGAAGAUAUCGAUAUAGCCAUAAUAUUUGUAUGCU